GACCUCAAAACCCUAGACUCCCCAACCGCAGCCGAAACCACACUCUACAAUGCGAGUCUCAUCAAUUAAGUGCUGAGUUAUGUAUGUAUGAAACCAAGAAGGGGAAUGCGGAGAUGAAAUCAUAAAGGUUUUGGUUUUAGAAAGUGUCGAGGCUUCAAGGCGUUUAGGUGUGAAAGCUGAGUUGCAAGACGAGAGCUUUAUGCAUGUGAGACGUUACUAUAUGUAUCACCAAAAGCUCUAUUUCUCAAUGCUUUUGAACAUCACCUUUUUUGAUGAAGUAAACGUUCAUAAUCUAUUCAUCCUUUCGACCCGACUUUGACCCAUAUGUGCAUUUAGCUCCGCCUUAAGGCCUCAAGAUAAUUUUCUGAACUUGGUUUUUGAAAACCAAGAUAGAGCUAGAAAAUGGACCUGUAGACCCUGUGUGUUUGUUCAUCGCUCAUGUAUGAACUUGUGGAGCCUUGUACAAUGCAUAACUUGUCACACGUGUUGAAGCUAGUGACUUGACUUGGGUUGCAUGAUGAGACAUUGAUGUGAAACUUGAAGGUGAAAAUAUCGUUAAGGCCAGGGGGUGUGACGAAACAAUGGAACAUGCAUUCAAUUCUUGUUUUGUGGCGCCGGUUAUUUGGAGGUAAGCACAUGGUGUAAAUUACAUCCCAUAUUUGCUUUCUCGAUUAAGGACUGAUUCGGCCUACAUGAGCAUGCAUCGGACAAGCCUUUCAAAAGAAAAUGUGUUCAUGUUGCUAUUAUGACUACAAUGUGGAGCUUAUGGCAUGCUAGAAACAACCUAAUUUUCUCUAAUGUCCCAGUGAAGAUUCAUGAUAUCGUGGGAGAGAUUAGAGAUCAGCAAUCAGCUUUUUGUGUCGCUCUAAGUCGGCUUGUUUAGAUUGAUUUAAAUGGAAGUCGUUUGAUGUAUAAUCGUCUUAUAUUUCAGUUAUUCAUAACCAAAUGUAAAACUAUAGGAUGGAAAAACUAACCAAAAGAGCGAACAACACUGAAAAACGUCAACCUCGCCGUAACGCGUGGGUCUCCUGUAAAUCCAUCAUAAAUGGUAUAAUUAAGUAAAAACUUGUGUAGACAUGUUAUACGUCAUUUGUUAUAUAUUUCUUUUCAAACCUAAAUUUUAAAGAGAUUUACUCAUUUAUCUACAACAUAACCUAUUUAUUUUGUUUGGGUCAAAUAGAAUCCACCAUAAGUUGGUUGUUCUAUUUUGUAUGGGUUAAAAGGAAUCCUUUCAAAGUUAGUUGUUGCAUUGCAUGUGAUACAAAAAGGAUUCCCUUGGCAUCAAACGUAUCGAUCGUACGUGAAAGAUAUUUGGGACGUGGUGUCGACGUUGUGCGGUCUGGAAAACGAGACUGUUGAUCACAUUCUUAUGCGUGAAGCAGCUGGCAAGAGGAAUGGUGUGGGAGUUGGCAUUCUAAAAGGUGGAACAAGUUCUUCUCAACAAUAAUGUAUGAAAGUAUGAGCUUUUGAUUCAUGUGAAAAGCUAGAAAAGCGUUGGUCCUCAAUAAAGUACUCAAGCUAUCACAAGCUAGGACAAUGAAGAAUCUUAAGUUACAACUUUUUCGUGUGGAUUAAGCGCAUAUAUCCACAGAGGAGAAUAUGGAGUGUGGUCAGUCUAGUGUACUAGUGUAGUGUCUGGAUGUUGUGCUUGU
This 1652-nucleotide long non-coding RNA is filed under the name Helianthus annuus (common sunflower). Its description in RNAcentral is "hypothetical non coding rna". Lineage: Eukaryota; Viridiplantae; Streptophyta; Magnoliopsida; Asterales; Asteraceae. The record is from RNAcentral.